AUUAACCCUGAUUAAAUACAUAGAACAAGUUUCAGUUUAACGAUACAUUUAAAGUUGAGGUUCUCGUUAUCAAUUCAAAUGAUACGAUACGAUAUCGGCUGUACAAAGUAAUCAUGUCAAUUAGUUUACCUAAUCGUUACAAUUCAUAAUGCUCUAGAAUGGCUACAACUACAAUACUUUUACUGACGUUCUUUUCAAGUUUUUCCUUAGUCUUUUCAUGUGUUCUGCUAGUGUCACUGAUUGUUGUGUAUCACUUCUACACUCCAAUAGGCCAAAAAGUGGCGAGGAGGAGGAAAAUACGCAGUAACUAUAUAUCUGCUAUCUUUGACGAUACAUAUCAUUAUACUCAAUUAACGCCGCCCUAUGACAAGCAACAGUAGAUGAAGUGAGAUCUAGGGCCAUCUAGUUAAAAUACUAUUUUUUAUCUAUGAUGACGGAGAACCCAAAUGCUCGGCAAAGUGUAACCAGGAAAAGAAAAAGAUUAUCGUGGUCGCUUCCGAAUCAAGGACUACACUCCAGUUUAUUUUCUGCUGUCGAGUCGGUCAAGGAGAAACCAAUGCAAGGUGUCCAACGGAAAUUUGAACCUCCCUAAAACUCGGCAACAAAAAUCCAAAACGCAAUACGCAUUCCAUUUAUAACAAAGAGAGUCAAUAUAUUUCUAUACAACAAUA
Long non-coding RNA from Photinus pyralis (common eastern firefly), 671 nucleotides. RefSeq lists it as uncharacterized. The record is from RefSeq and is a predicted model, not a curated record. The transcript is spliced from 2 exons. NCBI's taxonomy places the organism in Eukaryota, Metazoa, Arthropoda, Insecta, Coleoptera, Lampyridae.